This 314-nucleotide ribosomal RNA is filed under the name Klebsiella sp. HPC157. RNAcentral's name for it is "bacterial SSU rRNA". It matches the Rfam family "Bacterial small subunit ribosomal RNA", at positions 1160 to 1472 of the family's 1533-position model. Lineage: Bacteria; Pseudomonadati; Pseudomonadota; Gammaproteobacteria; Enterobacterales; Enterobacteriaceae. The record is from RNAcentral.
AAAACUGGAGAAGGUGGGGAUGACGUCCAAGUCUUCAUGGCCCUUACGAGUAGGGCUACACACGUGCUACAAUGGCAUAUACAAAGAGAAGCGACCUCGCGAGAGCAAGCGGACCUCAUAAAGUAUGUCGUAGUCCGGAUUGGAGUCUGCAACUCGACUCCAUGAAGUCGGAAUCGCUAGUAAUCGUAGAUCAGAAUGCUACGGUGAAUACGUUCCCGGGCCUUGUACACACCGCCCGUCACACCAUGGGAGUGGGUUGCAAAAGAAGUAGGUAGCUUAACCUUCGGGAGGGCGCUUACCACUUUGUGGUUCAU